Molecule: transfer RNA, 91 nt
Filed under: Candidatus Borkfalkia faecigallinarum
Lineage: Bacteria; Bacillati; Bacillota; Clostridia; Christensenellales; Christensenellaceae
Description: tRNA-Ser
Rfam family: tRNA
About the family: Transfer RNA (tRNA) molecules are approximately 80 nucleotides in length. Their secondary structure includes four short double-helical elements and three loops (D, anti-codon, and T loops). Further hydrogen bonds mediate the characteristic L-shaped molecular structure. tRNAs have two regions of fundamental functional importance: the anti-codon, which is responsible for specific mRNA codon recognition, and the 3' end, to which the tRNAs corresponding amino acid is attached (by aminoacyl-tRNA synthetases). tRNAs cope with the degeneracy of the genetic code in two manners: having more than one tRNA (with a specific anti-codon) for a particular amino acid; and 'wobble' base-pairing, i.e. permitting non-standard base-pairing at the 3rd anti-codon position.
Source: RNAcentral
GCAGAGAUGUCUGAGCGGCCUAAGGAGCACGACUGGAAAUCGUGUGUACCUCGUAAGGGUACCGAGGGUUCAAAUCCCUCUCUCUGCGCCA